GCUAAUACCGCAUAACGUCGCAAGACCAAAGUGGGGGACCUUCGGGCCUCACACCAUCGGAUGUGCCCAGAUGGGAUUAGCUAGUAGGUGGGGUAAUGGCUCACCUAGGCGACGAUCCCUAGCUGGUCUGAGAGGAUGACCAGCCACACUGGAACUGAGACACGGUCCAGACUCCUACGGGAGGCAGCAGUGGGGAAUAUUGCACAAUGGGCGCAAGCCUGAUGCAGCCAUGCCGCGUGUAUGAAGAAGGCCUUCGGGUUGUAAAGUACUUUCAGCGGGGAGGAA
This 285-nucleotide ribosomal RNA is filed under the name Pantoea dispersa. RNAcentral describes it as "partial 16S ribosomal RNA". It matches the Rfam family "Bacterial small subunit ribosomal RNA", at positions 162 to 449 of the family's 1533-position model. Lineage: Bacteria; Pseudomonadati; Pseudomonadota; Gammaproteobacteria; Enterobacterales; Erwiniaceae. The record is from RNAcentral.